AAGAUAAGCUAAUAACUUUGGACACAAUUUCACUCCUCUGCAUUCACCAAAUGUCCAAUUACAUAUCCUCCCUGCCUGGACCUUCAGAACAAUAUAAAACUGAAUGAAGGCUAUGAAAGAAGUCACAGGAGGAUUUUUGCAGAGCUUCCAUCCAGUUCAGAAACAAAGCAAUUCAAUACAUGUCUUCAAGAUUUCUAAAGGCAAUGACUUAAUUCUAAGUUCCAUGAAAGCAGGCAUUGUGUGAAUUUCUCCUGCAUCUGGAACUGGCCUAGCACACCAAAUGGAGUCUCACUCUGUCUCCCACGCUGGAGUGCCUCUGAAUGCUGUUUUAGCCAUGGUUCUGGAGAGGGUAGCGACAGGAGCUGUCUAGGUGGGAUCCAGAGGAAAGUACGAAUGAGCAGAAGGUGUUGAAAAGCUAAUUCACAGCUCCCCAGCUGCCUACUUGUGGGGACAGCUUUCUUCGGCUGCAGGCAGUAAUUGCUUUACUGCUAUCCUAAAUUGCCCUGGAGAAGAAAGCAAAGCUUUGCUUGCUUUAUCCUGUGGAUUUAAAGCAGUGCCUAUACUUGCUCUGCAUAGAAGAGAACUUCUCCUACAGAUAUUUUUAUUCUAAUCCACGCAACACAUUCCAGUUGAAACAAGAUUUUGAAGACACGCCCUAGUGUACAUUUUAUCUGCACUGGCCUCAUGAGGAAAAUCAAAUAAGAUUAUCUUACAUUACAAAAUUUUCUUGCAUACUUUAUGCAACAGUGGAAACAACACAGGAUUGGAAUUAGAAGACCUGGUUUUAAAUACCAAAUUGUUCCCCAGAAUGAUCUGAUCCUACUGCUUAGCCUAUCUGGAUGUCAGUUUCUACAUCUCUAAAAGGAAGACACACAGAGGAGAAUGCUAUCUGAAGAUGGAGGCAGAGAUUGAAGUGAUGCAUCUACAGGGAUUGCUGGCCGCCACCACAAGCUAGAAGAAGCAAGGGAGGAUUAUUCCCUAGAGCCUUUGGAUGGAGCAAGAAUCCAAGAAGACUCUAAAACCUCCAGUACUCAUGAAGAGAUGAGUUUGCUCAUUAUCAAUCUCAUUGAUCCUUAGCAUCGGAGCUGAGAGGGAGCCAGGAUGUUCAUCACACUGUGUAAAUGGCCUCUGUGAAGAACUUCCUGGGGUAUGGUCCAGCUUCCUGGAAUGGAAAAUUCUUCAAAUCAAAGGCAGAGGGUAAGGAAGAAAAUGAGAACUGAAACUGCUCCAAUCCCAGCUAGGAGAGAGGAAGAACUGUAAAGAAACCCCCCAAAUUACAUUGUAGAAUUAUUUUUCCCUAUGGUAUUAGGUUGAUCCCCCUUUCCUGGCCACCAGCAGCCCCUUUCCACACUUCUAGGAGCACCAGGAUCAAUUACCAUUCAUUGUUAUUUCAUGUGCAUAGACAACAGAACUUGCUGCUGUCAUAAAAGUAAAGGAACAGAUUUCUUAAAUUGCUACUUGAAGGAGCUCUUCUAUAUCAGUGCCAUUAAAUUAAAUUUCUGCUCUGUA
Molecule: long non-coding RNA, 1509 nt
Filed under: Homo sapiens (human)
Lineage: Eukaryota; Metazoa; Chordata; Mammalia; Primates; Hominidae
Description: novel transcript, antisense to KCNMB2
Source: RNAcentral